Molecule: RNA transcript, 3525 nt
Organism: Larimichthys crocea (large yellow croaker)
Lineage: Eukaryota; Metazoa; Chordata; Actinopteri; Sciaenidae
Gene: khdrbs1b
Gene name: KH domain containing, RNA binding, signal transduction associated 1b
Exons: 12
Source: RefSeq, a predicted model, not a curated record
CACACCCAUACCAGGACUGACAGCGGGAUUAUCGCUCUCGGAGGCGGCGCACAUCCUCACAGCACACGGUAGGCGGCGUCAGUCCGGAGAGCUACGUCCCUCUGAGCUCACUUCCGCCGGCUUGAGUCGGAUCGCUAUUCUUUUUACCGUGUCUCACCGCUUUUGUUCUCCCAUUUCCAUCCAGCCAGCGCUGCUGAGAAGAGGGAGCCCGGCAACAUCGGGAAAACCACAAACGACACAAAGUAGCGGACCAGUCAGUCGCAGAAACGCCACAUGCAAAGCGCAGUCUGCACAGAGGAUACGCGGCACUCCGUAGUUACAUAACUGGACUACUUUUUUUUUUUUGUAUUAUUGUUGGGGUUUUUUUUUCCACGCUUUUCUUUUUUUGUGUGUGUGUGCGUGUUGUUGUUGUUGUACCGAAACUGACUCCAUCUCUGUCUAAACUCAAAAUGGAGAACGACGACAAAUACCUCCCCGAGCUGCUGGCGGAGAAGGACAGCCUGGACUCGUCGUUCACGCACGCCAUGAAACUUUUAAACGCGGAAAUUGAUAGACUCCAGAAAGGCGAUACUAAAAAGGAGGCAGAAACAUACCUGGACCUUUUCACAACAAAGAACAUCAAACUUAAGGAACGAGUGCUCAUACCCGUCAAACAGUACCCGAAGUUCAAUUUCGUGGGGAAGAUUCUGGGACCUCAGGGCAACACAAUCAAACGUCUGCAGGAAGAGACUGGAGCCAAGAUCUCUGUGCUGGGCAAAGGAUCCAUGAGAGACAAAUCCAAGGAGGAGGGGCUGAGGAAAGGCGGCGAGCCCAAGUACGCCCACUUGUCUAUGGAGCUGCACGUAUUCAUCGAGGUGUUUGCCCCCGUGCCAGAGGCUUACCUGCGCAUGGCACACGCCAUGGAGGAGGUCAAGAAGUUCCUGUUCCCCGACAUGAUGGAUGAUAUCUGCCAAGAGCAGUUCAUGGAGAUGAGCUACCUGAACGGAGGCCAGGAGCACGGCGCCCGAGGCCGAGGGGGCAUGCCGGUCAGGGGCCGUGGAGUCCCCCCUGCCGGAGCACACAGGGGUAGGGGAAUGCCUCCUCGCGGUGCUGGCGCCAGAGGAGGUGUGAGUCGAGGCGGCCCAGCCAGAGGCGGCGCGGUGAGGGGCGCCCCAACAGGCCGAGGAGGACCACCUGCAGCACCCUCCAGGGGAGCAGUGGCACCCCGUGCCAGGCCCCCGGCCGGCGGACCCCCUCAGAGGAUGGCGCCGCCACCUCCCCACCAACACACUCCCGCCGCGGCUUCUGAGAGCUAUGAGGAAUAUGGCUACGAUGAGAGCUACACAGACACGGCCUACGAGUCAUACGACAGCUAUUACAGUCAGCCGCAGGCAGAGCCAGAAUACUACGACUACGGACACGGAGAGACCACAGAGUCCUACGAAUCCUAUGGCCAGGAUGACUGGAACGGGACCCAGCGAACAGUUCCAGGGAAGGCGCCUCCCCCCUCCAGAGGUGCCAAGACGCCUUACCGGGAUCACCCAUACCGACAGUACUGAAGUGGACUCCCUACCCUUAACGUGUCGCCCUGACUACCGCCUGUCUACCACGGCAGCUCUCGCUUUAAGCAGCCCGACAAAAGACCCAGAGGUAAGACCUCUAAAAUAACCUGGAUAGCUUCCUAAUGUGUAUAGAGUUCUAAAGCAUUGAAUGCCUGGGUAUGUAUAAGACUUUUUCAAUCCUCUUACCUGUGGUCGUAAUCGUUAAUGAGAAUUGCUUUUAUAGCAUCUGAAAAUUAACUGAAUUCAAACCACCAUUCAGGUCUAGGCUUCAUUGUCAUGAAUGACGCUGGCGCGAUGGCUACUUUUAGUACAGAGUAAUGGCAGUGCAAUGGAGAGGAUGGUUAUAACCUAGAGAACUCCACUGUAAAGGCACAGCUAUCGGUCACUGAGUGCCCCGGAGACUGACAGUCUGCUGAAGUGAGACCAAACAAAACCACAGUGAAGCCGUGCACAGGAGCAGCUCAGCACGAGUGAGGUGGUCAGAAGAAGUUCUCGGAGGGCAUCCUUUUUUAAAAUAAAUAAAUAAAUAAGAAGGUGGCCCGAGGUCCAGUUCUGUUCCCGGCAGGGAGAAGGCAAGUGGAAAGGGGGUUUGCGGUGGCUGGCUGCCAAGUGACCCACAGGAGCCAGCUGAUAUAACGCGUGGGGAGCGGAGCUGGCUCAGACUCUCACUCGGGAAACGGGACUUAAAACUGCAGCUGGUCAGCGAAGACGUUCAGCUCGCUGGGAAUCCAGAAUAAGCAGACUUUUUUUUUUUUUUUUUUUUUUGUGGACUACUUUCUCAGAUUUCUACAUUUUAAUUUUUAAUUACUCUCUGUUAUCCUCAUGUAAUUAUUUGCUAACAUUUGAAUACACCCACUUGAAGCUUUCGCUGAUUGCACGCUGCUGUACACAGCUUCUGCGGACCACCCCCUCGUCCAACAAAUGUAAUUGUUACAGCCUAAUCUACCAUAAAAUGAGCACUCCUGUUAUAGUAGGCUGUGAAAUUGUUUUAAAAUUUUUCUAUUAACCCUUGAAUUAGACAAGAAAAGAGCUCUUUCUGCAAGACGAGCAGUAUUCUCCCAUUCACGGGAGAAUUGUGCGACAUGUGCGUUUCAAGUGAUUUUCUUUUCACAUUCUGGCCGCGUGUUGCUUAGUAUCCGUGCCUUAUUGCCGCCUGAAAUUAGACUCUGUGCUCAGGAGUUAAAGAUGCCCGGAGAGCAUGGAUCACUUUCGCGCUGUGGCCGAGUCCGACGCGAGCUCGCACACUCACGCUGCCGCAUCUUGGCACCGCACGGCCCUGUGUAGCCCCAAGGAUAUCAAAUUCUAAUGUAGCAGCCUAUUUGCAUGUACUCUCAUGUAUCCUCCCUGCAAAUGUGCAACACUUUCAUAACCAAAGCUGGCCCGUUCACAGCAGUUCAGCAUCCAAGUAUGAUAAUUGGGUGAGAUGGACCCAGGAGGAGAAGCUGCAUGUGAGAAAGGGACAGAGGGUGAAGACAGACAUUACUAACGUGCCUCCAUCUAUCCAUCAUGCCUGUGUUGAUUUGAUUCCCCCUCCAUGCCAUUUUCUGCUAUUAUCACUGAUGAUAUUACGGAUGCCUGUGGUGCCGAGCUGCAUUUAGAGGUCAGAACUGUACUUUCCUGUAUUAAAAACGCGUUUCUCUGUCCCGAUUCACUGGUCAGAGGCAGCAUUAGCCAAGUUAGAGGCUCCAUUUAGUUUAUUGAAAAAGCUAGCAGCUUAGAGGAUAGAACAUUAGAUAUUAGGAUAGAAACCAUCAUUUGAGAUGAAAUGUCAACGGGCCUUAUCCAAAACAGAUCAUUUUUCAGUCUUUAUGUGCUAUUAUGUCUAAAAUAAUGAUUUCUAUGUCUCCUAUAAUCUAAUGAAAGAUAAGUGAUGAUGUGGAAGCCAUCUCCUUUGUUUGAAUCGAUGAACUGUCAAGAGCGUGAGGGUGGAAAAGAAAGUAAAUUGUUACUGUGCAUUGAUCAAUAAAAGCAGACUUGAAUAUGA